Long non-coding RNA from Micropterus dolomieu (smallmouth bass), 820 nucleotides. RefSeq lists it as uncharacterized. The record is from RefSeq and is a predicted model, not a curated record. NCBI's taxonomy places the organism in Eukaryota, Metazoa, Chordata, Actinopteri, Centrarchiformes, Centrarchidae. The transcript is spliced from 4 exons.
AUUAUAAAUAAAAGCAUCCUCACGCUCACGGUAACGUUUUAACUUAACUUGUAACGUUGACACUUCACUCGCUCUUUUAGGCUCAAUCUGUUGCGCAUUAAUUUAACUAUGUUAUGUUUAUUUAAUGUCCGGUUUUCCCCCAUUUAACACAACGGCGAUCGAUAGAAAAUACACUAAACAUGUCGGUGCGUUAUCGUGAGAGCUUUGCCUCUGUCCGCUGAUAUUUACUUGAUAGUUGGCUAAACUUAGCCAGCUAACGUUAACGUUAAGCUCAACUGGUCUGACUAGCUAGUCCUCUUCUUCAUAUCCAGGUCGGCGUGGAGAUCCAGUUACCAGAGAGUGUGAGAGUGUUUCACUGGAGGGUACCAAGGCCCAGCACCGCAGAGAUGGGGUAAGAGGGCGGAGCAGCAACCAAGGGUGGAGCCGAACAUUUGGUGAGACAACAGAACUGUGGGAAAGGGCUGAGGAGACACACACACAAGCGCAUACAAGGAAUCAUCCACCAUACUCCAGUCAGGCCCUUUAGCACAUCUGUCCUCAUGUUCUUUUCCAACCCUGGCAAAAACCCCCUCCCACCUUUGGCCUGGACUUACAUGGCAUCUGCCUUUUACAGUACGAUGUUAGCAGGCACGUGUGCCCACAGCUAAGCAGAAAGCCAGCAAGCCAGCAGAAAGGAAUCUCUGUUUUGUGUAGGGCUCUUGGCCAUCGCUUGUUGGGUGCAUUUGUAAUAAUGCCUCAUACUAAAGUCAUGCCAAACUCUGCUAUGUAAAAAAAACACACAUUAUAUAUUCAGAUGAAUCAUUUGAGUAAAUAGAUAAAA